UCCUUUUCCUCGUCGCUGGAGCGGCUGAGGUGCUGUGAGGCGUCUCCAUUUCAGAGUGGGGACGGGCCCCUCAGACGUCCUGGCGGACGGGAGCGUUCUGUUUCCCUAACACUUGCCUCCCCGGCGGCCAGCGUUACAGACGGUUCUGCCGUAUCAGGACACGCGAUGCCUGAAGUGAUGUGUGUCCUUGGGCCGGAGAACCGAGCUCGCCUCCGUCCCCGGGCGUGCCAAACCCCACACCGCUUGCCGUCCUCCGGGACGGGGCUCGCCGUGAGCAUCGAGAGGUGCCGCCCGCGGAAGGCAACCGUCCCCACCGACUGCCUGUCGCCCAACAGGAGGCGUCCUUUGUUCCUGCAUCUUUGGUUGUGUGUGGCCUGCUGGCCGAGGGACCGCGCAGGGUGGGACUGACUCCUCGUCAGCCCGAGGCUGAAAUGACCUCCCGCUUCACAGCUGGAGGAAGGCAGCUACUCUGACGGAAAGAAGAAAUGGAAAUAGAAGGUAGUGAUCACAAAAUAGGCAGAACCAUAGAAAGAUCCCUCCGGGCUGCCAGGAGAGCAGGUGGCCUGGGUCCGGAGGUGUGUAGCGGGGGGGAUGGGAGCUAGAAUGCACCUGCCGGGCAGAGGGAGCACAGGCCGUUCUCCCUGCCCCUCCUGUACCUGCAGCAAAGGCCGCCCUCCAGCCCAGACUGAGUAACUCGGGCCAUGAGGGGACGCGGCGGGUGGCCGUGUCCGAUCUGGGAUGACCGUCUGUGGGAGGAAGCUACGUCAUAGGAACCCCUGUGGGGGCUUGAACGAUCCAGUAUUGCGCGUGAUUGAGGACGCUGGAGAAGGUUGUCGUCCACGGUCGAUCUCCCAGAAGGGUGGGCUUGUUGGGGCUGCGGGUGAGGGAAGGGGUCUACGCUUCUCCUGUGAACGUCUGUCAGUCACCCUGACUCGUGAGUGGGGGACGUCAGUGUGCUGCCCCACGUGGCCUCCCUGUUCUCUCUCUGCCCCUCCCCUGCUCAUGCUCUCUCUCUGUUGCAAAAAUAAAUAAAAACAUUAAAAAAAAAAAUUAAAAAAAAUGAAGACAGAGUGAAGCCAGCCGCUUUCCCAAGGCGCGGGCAGCACAUCUGGGCGCGGCGACGGGCCUGUGAGUUACAGACGGUUCAGCGGGAGCACAGAGGGCAGGGCUGAGGGCCUCACAAAGGGGGAGAGGUCUGUCGCAGAUGAAGCAGAUACCACACGGGGCCCGAUCAUACGGGGUAAAAGAAUACAACUUUUAUCUUGAUGUCAGUGGGUGAGCCACCGGAGAUUUGGGGCCAUGCUUCUCUGACUGGCGUAAACAUCCAUUUGCCUGCGGAACAAGCCCUUGCCGAUCAACUGAGGGGAGACAGAACUGAGUUACAACUCCGGCAGCUUCUAUUUAAGGCCUUGUGACUCACCCCGUGGCGGUGCAGAGAUUGCUAAGGCCUGUGCCCUCCUGUAAACACCUGUCACUUCCCCGCUCUGCAGAAACGCUGGGGCGGAUGAGGUCACGCGCGUGGAAUGUACGGGAGCUUCUCGGAGAAAGGAACCAGGUAGGUUCGGGACGUUACUAUCGUCACCCCAGCCGUCUGGGGGUCCGCUUUCUAGCAAACCCAAGGGUCCAGAAGCCAGAAGCUACAAAAUAAGGAAAAAUAAAGGAAGGUGCCUGGCCCCAAAGAAAGCAGGAAGUAGACCAGGAAAUGGCUGUAAGGUCAGAGAUAACACGAAGCAGGAUACGCCCGGUCGUGAGGGAAGCUUCGUGGCCCCUGGAGGGAAUGACGGCAGAGGCCGGCCGCCCCACUGUGCACAGACCUCCCAGAAAAUCGAAGGCAAGUUCUCCCUGGUUUUGUGAAGCGGGGCCGUUCUGACUGCUGACUCGGGCAAGGACGUGCUUAGCUGAGUCGUCCCGUCUCUCCUGGCAUCAGGGCUCCGUGCUGUGAAUGCAAGAGGUGGUCGGAGAAAAUGAUUCUCCUUCCUACGGCUUAAUACAAGGAGGCAGGCGAGGCGCCUCGCGUGUGGGAGGAGUUUCUCACCACGUCUGGGACCCUGGUUAGGGAUCUCGCGAAAUUACCCACUGAAAGUGAUUUUCUUUUCCCUAGAAGUUCUCUAGAACAAUGGCUUGACAAACUCAGAAUUUCAUGAGCUCUGUAAAUCAGUUCCGCCCUUGAACACUUUCUUGUACACCCGCUGGCAACUCAUGAAUCCUUUCCCAAAAAAGGUAGAGUCAGUAGAAACGUGCACUGCCGCGUUUUGAGAUUCAUGUAUGAGCCAUAUGAGGGCCAAGCACUCAUUCACAUCUGCUCGCUGCUCAUCUGAUCUCACCCGUGAGAAAAAGGAGGCGGUGGGCCGGGAAGGUAGGGGUGUGGAGCCCAGCGGGUUCUUGGGGGAGGUGGGGACUGGCGGGAGCAGCCGUCAGGGGCAUCGGAGUGGCCCCAGCAGAGACUGGGUGGGGACUGGGGGCCUCGCAAGGAGCCUGGGCGUGCCGCCAUGGAGCAGGACGGAAGGGGACCCGCAGCUGCUCCAACGACCCUGAGGGCCACCCUGGACUGUUUUCCUGGUCCCGAUUGGAUUACUUUGUACCUUUCCUCCCCUCAAGCCCUUCUCCCUCCUCACCUGUGCUGCACUCGCAGCCGCAGCCGGUGAAUUAGUCUCACCUCCACCUCGUCAUCACAGGGUCAUCAACGCUGGAUUCUUCUGCACACACCUCCUUCUCCUUUCCUGGGGCAACUCCUUUCCUUCCUCAGCAUGCGUCCUGGGUCCUGUCUCUUUUUUUUUUUACUUUCUCUCUUGUUUCCAGUCUUCUGUCUCCGUGGGAUCACUCCCCACGCCCUACAAAUAUUUCCCGCCGCUACAAAUAGCAAUGUUCCCCGAGGGGUGGCUGCUCAGCUUCUCUACCCCAGCUCCGGCACCCGUCACAUGGGCCACUUUCUUUGGGCACUCACAGAUGUGCUAGACCUGGGCACUAGGUCUCAGUGAGAGGAUCUGGAGAAGAGCUUCUUCUGACGGGGACUGGUCUCUGUGUCUUGCGGGAGCCCCGCCAAUGGGGCCGAUCUGACCUUGGCUCUUGGAAAGCGGUAAUCAUCUAGACCUCUCUGAUCUUCAGCAGCCCUUCUUCUACUGACCAGGCUCUUUGCAACAAUAACAGAGUACAGUGGGGAGAUUCCAUCUGUCAAAGUCGGAGACUGAAGAUUUCAGGUGCUCUGCUGGAAUUAUCUUUCGGGGUGCAGGCUAACUGAUGAAUUAGGAGGGCAAGGUUGGGGUGGACCUGGUUUCCCAUCUAGGCAAGUUCUCUUGGCUAACAAGGACAGAUCUACGUGAAAACCAUUUACCGACAUUGAGUUAAAGGCCACCCUGGUGGACUCAACGUCUACAGGGAGACCAGAAUUUUCUUUAAAAACAAUUUGCAGUCUGUGGUAGUAAUCGUGAACACGUUCGGCAGACUUCUGAGUGCCUGUCUGAGUUUCGUUCCAGACUCCUGGUUUAUGAAAAGCCUUCGGGAUGGCAGGGGGCAGCCUUGUGUGAAUGGCCCGAGCCUGGUCACGUGAAGGAGUUGGUGGUUGAUUUAACUCAAAAUUCUGAAGAUUGUUCAGGGCUUUGAUCCAGUGCUGAGCUUGACCUCCAACAAGUGUACGGACCAACGGAUAAAGACCGAGAAGCCAACUCGGUUAAGUGUAAAUUACAAUAUGUAAUUCUUCGGCAAAUCUAUGAGGGUCCCCACUUCCCUAGAGGAAGCCUUUUACCACAGCUCUAAGUUCAGCGUUGGUCCAUGGGUUUUGAGCGACUCGUGGUUUUGCGAGAUCCUCAGAAGGCCUGAUUCUAGAAGGGCGAGUUUCACGAGGCCCGGUUGGUGAAGUUUCAGCACCAGAGAAAAGGGGAGUUCGGGUGAAGGAGGGAAGGCAGAAAAAGGGAAAAUGUGGGUGUGGAGGAUGCAGAGAAAUGUGGCUAGCGGCGGUCCAGAUGGGGAAGACGUCUCUGACACUUUUACCCCCUUCCGAUUGUCUAUUGGCUUCAGUUAAUUUAGAAAUAGGGUUUUGUAAAGAGGCACUGUAGAACCCCCGGUACUUUUAGAAGCCUCUAGGUAGCCGCUGAAAUAGCUCUGACAUUCAGAUUGUUUGGCUCUAUUGCUGGAACCUCCCAAUCCCUUCUGGAGGAAAAGCAGGUCUGGGAGGUUGUAAAUUCCCAUAACCCGUCACCCCCCAUCCCACUCCUGAAUGCCAAGGAAUGCCCGUCUAAAUAAAAAGGUAAACCGCGGCAAGAUCGAACUUGUCAAAAAGAUGAGAUUACUUGGGAAUACCAGAGGGAUUGCAAUUCAGACGCUUCAGUGGCAGGGGGCUCCGGGCUAGGGUUUGGGGCAGGCUGUGUUUCUGGGCAGCAGAUGUGAGGCUCGAGGAGCUCAGCGAGACUGCGUUAAAAAAAAAAUGCAAAAAGAGACCAGUUUGGAAACCUCCCGCAGCAGAGAAAACCAGCCCAUCCCACAAACAAAGGUCCAGUCAGCAUAUUUUGAGAGACCAGCCCGACCUGGGUCACUCCUCCCUCGGGCUUCUGGAAAACCAUAGAUAAAACUUCCCCAGGCUAGUAUGAGGCAACUUCCCAACCAACUGCCCUACCCUGCCAGAAAUUUCCAAUAUUAUCAGUCUUCGCCCUACCCUGCCAGAAACUUCCAAUAUUAUCAGCCUUCCGUAAACCGGGCACUUGCGGGAAAUCGGUCUCUCGUGCCUAAGUGUCGACUUCCUGAGAGCACGCGUGUGAGGUUCCCCGUGUUCCAUCCCGUGGCUCCACUGCACGCUGAGAUGUUUUCACAGCCACUCACCCCGAUCUGGAGCCCUCUUGCCAGUAUCCCCUCUACACCUGCCCUGACCCUCCUGUGAUGCCUGGGAGACCCCGGACCCGCCUCCGCUAGGGAGACUUGCCUGCAUUCGCUCUGCGGACACGUCCUUCCUCUGCCCUUCGCACGGAUGCGCAGCUGUGACAUCUUGUGGAGGGAAGGCCACCCAAAGCCAUCUGCAUUACACCCUUGACUGGUGUUUAUCCGAAACCAUGCAGCAGAAAGAGGUUUGGUGUUUUGCCGGAUGCUGAGUGGGCGAUCCGGUGAGGAGAGGGAGCACACACCUUUCCUUCCCUUUGUCUGGGAUCCGAAUGUGCCCUGGGUCAUUUACCCCCGAGACACGCUAGAGUUCCUUAACGUGCUGGCCACGGCUGAGGUCACGUACGAAUGAACUGUGUGUGAGAAAAGUAAAGUUGUCAGCACAGAUCUGA
Long non-coding RNA from Leopardus geoffroyi (Geoffroy's cat), 5258 nucleotides. RefSeq lists it as uncharacterized. NCBI's taxonomy places the organism in Eukaryota, Metazoa, Chordata, Mammalia, Carnivora, Felidae. The transcript is spliced from 2 exons. The record is from RefSeq and is a predicted model, not a curated record.